ACAAGACUGAGGAACUGAAGGUAAAUCAAGAAGAGUUCUUCAGCAUUCAAGAUGCGUUCCAUAAAAUGUAACAGCGGGGACGGAUUACAUUUAGGACUUAUGGAUCUGCUUCCAACCAUCACCUGUGAAAUAACUAACAAGGCCCUGCAAGGGAAGGAAGGAGAUACACAGUACAGAAGAGAGACCUGGUUAUACAAAAACCCAGGGGAAGGAACGCGGGAUGAAGAACUGGAGUCUCACAAGAAACGGAAGCUCUGGAUGUGGAGGCGAAUGCCCGUAACCCUAGCGCUCAGGAGGCUGAGGCAGGAAGAUUGCUGCAAGCCUGAGUCCAGCCCGGGCUGCAUGGUGAGUUCAAG
This 356-nucleotide long non-coding RNA is filed under the name Cavia porcellus (domestic guinea pig). RNAcentral's name for it is "lncRNA (ENSCPOG00000030618.1)". Lineage: Eukaryota; Metazoa; Chordata; Mammalia; Rodentia; Caviidae. The record is from RNAcentral.